CUAUUACCUGAAAUCAGUUUGGGGUUGGGAUCAUUUUUUAUCUUAAUUGCUUUAGCAAUGUAAGUGAAUCAGAACUGAAGUGGAAAAUGUUCUUGGGUUUAUGUUUUCAACACAAAGUAUGACGAUGCUUACAUUCCGUUUAUAGGAGUGGCAAGGAAUUUACUAUGCCAAAAAGAAAAACGGAGAUAAUAUACAACAAAAUGUGAAGAUAAUACCUGUCAUUGGACAGGGAGGAAAAAUUAGACACUAUGUGUCCAUUAUCAGAGUGUGCAAUGGCAACAAUAAGGCUGAGAAAAUAUCCGAAUGUGUUCAGUCUGACACUCAUACAGAUAAUCAGACAGGCAAACAUAAAGACAGGAGAAAAGGCUCACUAGACGUCAAAGCUGUUGCCUCCCGUGCAACUGAAGUUUCCAGCCAGAGACGACACUCUUCCAUGGCCCGGAUACAUUCCAUGACAAUUGAGGCGCCCAUCACCAAGGUAAUCAAUAUUAUCAAUGCUGCCCAGGAAAGUAGUCCCAUGCCUGUGACAGAAGCCCUAGACCGUGUGCUGGAAAUUCUAAGAACCACUGAGUUAUAUUCACCACAGUUUGGUGCUAAAGAUGAUGAUCCCCAUGCCAAUGACCUUGUUGGGGGCUUAAUGUCUG
This 644-nucleotide small RNA is filed under the name Pan troglodytes (chimpanzee). RNAcentral describes it as "retained intron". Lineage: Eukaryota; Metazoa; Chordata; Mammalia; Primates; Hominidae. The record is from RNAcentral.